Cercocebus atys (sooty mangabey) is the source of this 4269-nucleotide RNA transcript. It is a transcript of the gene named cancer susceptibility candidate 3, with no coding region annotated. The record is from RefSeq and is a predicted model, not a curated record. NCBI's taxonomy places the organism in Eukaryota, Metazoa, Chordata, Mammalia, Primates, Cercopithecidae. The transcript is spliced from 13 exons.
CCCGCCCACCCCAAGCGGGAUGGCUGAGCGCCGCACGCGCAGCACGCCGGGACUAGCUAGCGAGCCUCCCAGCAGCCUCUGGGACGGGCGCGGUGCGUAAGUAGCUCGCCGGCGGUGGCCGUUCUCCGUAAGAUGGCGGACCGGCGGCGGCAGCGCGCUUCGCAAGACACCGAGGACGAGGAAUCUGGUGCUUCGGGCUCAGACAGCGGCGGCUCCCCGUUGCGGGGCGGCGGGAGCUGCAGCGGUAGCGCCGGAGGUGGCGGCAGCGGCUCUCUGCCUUCACAGCGCGGAGGCCGAAUCGGGGCCCUUCAUUUGCGGCGGGUGGAGAGCGGGGGCGCCAAGAGCGCUGAGGAGUCGGAGUGUGAGAGUGAAGAUGGCAUUGAAGGUGAUGCUGUUCUCUCGGAUUAUGAAAGUGCAGAAGACUCAGAAGGUGAAGAAGGAGAAUACAGUGAAGAGGAAAACUCCAAAGUGGAGCUGAAAUCAGAAGCUAAUGAUGCUGUUAAUUCUUCAACAAAAGAAGAGAAGGGAGAAGAAAAGCCUGACACCAAAGGCACUGUGACUGGAGAGAGGCAAAGUGGGGACGGACAGGAGAGCACAGAGCCUGUGGAGAACAAAGUGGGUAAAAAGGGCCCUAAGCAUUUGGAUGAUGAUGAAGAUCGGAAGAAUCCAGCAUACAUACCUCGGAAAGGGCUCUUCUUUGAGCAUGAUCUUCGAGGGCAAACUCAGGAGGAGGAAGUCAGACCCAAGGGGCGUCAGCGAAAGCUAUGGAAGGAUGAGGGUCGCUGGGAGCAUGACAAGUUCCGGGAAGAUGAGCAGGCCCCAAAGUCCCGACAGGAGCUCAUUGCUCUUUAUGGUUAUGACAUUCGCUCAGCUCACAAUCCUGAUGACAUCAAACCCCGAAGAAUCCGGAAACCCCGAUAUGGGAGUCCUCCACAAAGAGAUCCAAAUUGGAAUGGUGAGCGGCUAAACAAGUCUCAUCGCCACCAGGGUCUUGGGGGUACCCUACCACCAAGGACAUUUAUUAACAGAAAUGCUGCAGGUACUGGCCGCAUGUCUGCACCCAGGAAUUAUUCUCGAUCUGGGGGCUUCAAGGAAGGUCGUGCUGGUUUUAGGCCUAUGGAAGCUGGGGGGCAGCACGGUGGCCGGUCUGGCGAGACUGUUAAGCAUGAGACUAGUUACCGGUCACGGCGCCUAGAGCAGACUCCUGUGAGGGAUCCAUCUCCAGAAGCAGCAGAUGUUCCAGUGCUUGGCAGUCCUGAGAAGGAAGAGGCAACCUCAGAGACACCAGCUGCUGCUCCUGAUACUGCACCACCAGCCCCUGACAGGCCCAUUGAGAAGAAAUCCUAUUCCCGGGCAAGAAGAACCCGAACCAAAGUUGGAGAUGCAGUCAAGCUUGCAGAGGAGGUGCCCCCUCCUCCUGAAGGACUGAUCCCAGCACCUCCAGUCCCAGAAACCACCCCAACUCCACCUACUAAGACUGGGAACUGGGACGCUCCAGUGGAUUCUACUACAGGUGGACUUGAGCAAGAUGUGGCACAACUAAAUAUAGCAGAACAGAAUUGGAGUCCGGGGCAGCCUUCUUUCCUGCAACCACGGGAACUUCGAGGUAUGCCCAACCAUAUUCACAUGGGAGCAGGACCUCCACCUCAGUUUAACCGGAUGGAAGAAAUGGGCGUCCAGGGUGGUCGAGCCAAACGCUAUUCAUCCCAGCGGCAAAGACCUGUGCCAGAGCCCCCCGCCCCUCCAGUGCAUAUCAGUAUCAUGGAGGGACAUUACUAUGAUCCACUGCAGUUCCAGGGACCAAUCUAUACCCAUGGUGACAGCCCUGCCCCGCUGCCUCCACAGGGCAUGCUUGUGCAGCCAGAAAUGCACCUUCCCCACCCAGGUAAGUUUAGUGUCUCUGCUUGUAUGCUUCCAGUACCUGAGGAUAUAUGUUGGGAGCACCACAAACCCUAUCCUCCUGAGUUCUGUGCUGCUAGCCUGGGAGUCUGGCCAUCCUGGCUGCGUUGGCAACAAAUUCCUCUUGUAUCCAUCCUGAGGACUUCCAUCCUGAGCCUGAUUAUACUGAGCAGUCCAGCCAGGCCAUCCUAUGAAAAUGAUGUUACUUUAUUUUUCAGUUUUUUUCUUCUCCUUAUCCAGGUUUACAUCCCCACCAGACACCAGCUCCUCUGCCCAAUCCAGGCCUCUAUCCCCCACCAGUGUCCAUGUCUCCAGGACAGCCACCACCUCAGCAGUUGCUUGCUCCUACUUACUUUUCUGCUCCAGGCGUCAUGAACUUUGGUAAUCCCAGUUACCCUUAUGCUCCAGGGGCACUGCCUCCCCCACCGCCGCCUCAUCUGUAUCCUAAUACACAGGCCCCAUCACAGGUAUAUGGAGGAGUGACCUACUAUAACCCCGCCCAGCAGCAGGUGCAACCAAAGCCCUCCCCACCACGGAGGACUCCCCAGCCAGUCACCAUCAAGCCCCCUCCACCUGAGGUUGUAAGCAGGGGUUCCAGUUAAUAUGAGUUUCUGAAUAUUUUAAAUCUUAACAUCAUAUAAAAAACGGCAGAGGUGAGAACUCAGGAGAGAAGAGAAAUACAGCUGGCUAUCUACUACCAGAAGGGCUUCAAAGAUAUAGGUUAUGGCUUCUACCAGCAAACAGCUGAAAGAGGAGGACCCCUGCCUUCCUCUAAGGACAGGCUCUGGAGAGAGGGAGAAACAAGUGGACCUCGUCCCAUCUUCACUCUUCACUUGAGUUGGCUGUGUUCGGGGGAGCAGAGUCAGACAGCCCCAAGCUUCUGAGUCUAGAUCCAGAAGCCCAUGUCUUCUGCUGUUCUUCACUUUCUUCUGGGAAAUUGAAGUGUCUUCUGUUCUCAAGGAAGCUCCUUCCUGUUUGUUUUGUUUUCUAAGAUGUUCAUUUUUAAAGCCUGGCUUCUUAUCCUUAAUAUUAUUUUAGUUUUUUCUCCUUGUCUCUGUUUCUUGCUCUCCCUGCCUUUAAAUGAAACAAGUCCAUUCUUCUGGUUUGCUAGCCCCUCUGGAUUCCCUUUUGACUCUUCCCUGUAUCCCAGAUAAUGGCGAAUGUAUCAGCCAGCCUUCCUCACCAAGGCUAAAAAGACCUGGCCUUUCACUUUUAGUUGGCGUUUGUUAUCCUCUUGUAUACUUGUAUUCCCUUAACUCUAACCCUGUGGAAGCAUGGCUGUCUGCACAGAGGGUCCUAUUGUGCGGAAAAGCUCAGAGUAGGUGGGUAGGAGUCCUUCUCUUUGACUUAGGUUUUUAGGAGUCUGAGCAUCCAUCAGUACCUGUACUAUGGUGGACUUCUGUUCUCUGCUGAGGGCAAAUACCCUACUGUGGGGAGAGAUGGCAAACCAGAUGCUUUUGUGAGAAAGGGAUGGUGGAGUGAGAGCCUUUGCCCUUAGGGGUGUGUAUUCACAUAGUCCUCAGGGCGCAGUCUUUUGAGGUAAGUGGAAUUAGAGGGCCUUGCUUCUCUUCUUUCCAUUCUUCUUGCUACACUCCCUUUCCAGUUGCUGUGGACCAGUGCAUCUCUUUAAAGGCAAAUAUCAUCCAGCAAGCAGUCUACCCCAUCCUUUGCAAUUGCUCUUCUCCACGUCUUCUCUGCUACAAGUGUUUUAGAUGUUACUACCUUAUUUUCCCCGAAUUGUACUUUUGUCCUUGCAAACAGAAGAUACUACACCUGGGCUUAAGGCCUAAGGAAGCCAGUCACCUUCUGGGCAAGGGCUCCUAUCUUUCCUCGCUAUCCAUGGCACUAAACCACUUCUCUGCUGCCUCUGCGGAAGAGAUUCCUAUUACUGCAGUACUUCUGUCCGCCAGGGGUAACUUGGCCACUGUCCCUGUCCUUCUACAGAACCUGAGGGCGAAGAUGGUGGCUGUGUCUCUCCCCGGUAAUGUCACUGUCUGUUUUUAUUCCUUCCCUCUAGCAGCUGGCCUAACCACUCGAGUCACAGGUGUGGCGUGGAGAGAGGGGAGGGGCAUUUAAUCUGUAACCCCCAAGGAGGAAAUAACUAAGAUUCUUCCAGGGGUAGCUGGUGGUUGUGCCUUUUGUAGGCUGUUCCCUUUGCCUUAAACCUGAAGAUGUCUCCUCAAGCCUGUGGGCAGCAUGCCCAGAUUCCCAGACCUUAAGACACUGUGAGAGUUGUCUCUGUUGGUCCACUGUGUUUAGUUGCAAGGAUUUUUCCAUGUGUGGUGGUGUUUUUUGUUACUGUUUUAAAGGGUGCCCAUUUGUGAUCAGCAUUGUGACUUGGAGGUAAUAAAAUUUAGACUGUAAACUUGG